RNAcentral lists this ribosomal RNA (493 nucleotides) under uncultured bacterium. RNAcentral's name for it is "partial 16S ribosomal RNA". It matches the Rfam family "Bacterial small subunit ribosomal RNA", at positions 29 to 523 of the family's 1533-position model. The record is from RNAcentral.
AUUGAACGCUGGCGGCAUGCUUUACACAUGCAAGUCGAACGGUAACAGGUUAAGCUGACGAGUGGCGAACGGGUGAGUAAUGCAUCGGAACGUGCCCGGUCGUGGGGGAUAACGCAGCGAAAGCUGCGCUAAUACCGCAUACGAUCUGAGGAUGAAAGCGGGGGACCGUAAGGCCUCGCGCGAUCGGAGCGGCCGAUGUCAGAUUAGGUAGUUGGUGGGGCAAAGGCUCACCAAGCCAACGAUCUGUAGCUGGUCUGAGAGGACGACCAGCCAAACUGGGAAUGAGACAAGGCCCGGACUCCUACGGGAGGCAGCAGUGGGGAAUUUUGGACAAUGGGCGAAAGCCUGAUCCAGCAAUGCCGCGUGCAGGAAGAAGGCCUUCGGGUUGUAAACUGCUUUUGUACGGAGCGAAAAGGUCUCCUCUAAUACAGGGGGCUCAUGACGGUACCGUAAGAAUAAGCACCGGCUAACUACGUGCCAGCAGCCGCAGUAA